GAUGAACGCUGGCGGCGUGCUUAACACAUGCAAGUCGAACGGAAAGGCUCCUGCUUGCAGGGGUACUCGAGUGGCGAACGGGUGAGUAACACGUGGGUGAUCUGCCCUGCACUUCGGGAUAAGCCUGGGAAACUGGGUCUAAUACCGGAUAGGACGAUGGUUUGGAUGCCAUUGUGGAAAGUUUUUUCGGUGUGGGAUGAGCUCGCGGCCUAUCAGCUUGUUGGUGGGGUAAUGGCCUACCAAGGCGUCGACGGGUAGCCGGCCUGAGAGGGUGUACGGCCACAUUGGGCCUGAGAUACGGCACAGACUCGUACGGGAGGCAGCAGUGGGGAAUAUUGCACAAUGGGCGCAAGCAUGAUGCAGCGAAGCAGCGUGGGGGAUGACGGCCUUCGGGUUGUAAACUCCUUUCGUUAGGGACGAAGCGCAAGUGACGGUACCUGGAGAAGAAGCACCGGCUAACUACGUG
This 466-nucleotide ribosomal RNA is filed under the name uncultured bacterium. RNAcentral's name for it is "partial 16S ribosomal RNA". It matches the Rfam family "Bacterial small subunit ribosomal RNA", at positions 28 to 507 of the family's 1533-position model. The record is from RNAcentral.